Molecule: long non-coding RNA, 1612 nt
Organism: Vitis riparia (riverbank grape)
Lineage: Eukaryota; Viridiplantae; Streptophyta; Magnoliopsida; Vitales; Vitaceae
Exons: 3
Source: RefSeq, a predicted model, not a curated record
UAGGGUUGGAGUCCGAGCAGAAACGACUUCGUCACUACGCCUGGUAGCGUUAGUCUAGCCCUAGCCCUAAUCCUAACCCUAAUUUCUGUUUCUUCUUCUCUCUAUAGAAUGGUGGAUAUGCAAUUUGGGGUUGUGGAUUGUUGGAUGAUCAAUGGAGGGAGGGGUUGGAAGAGAGAAGAUGAAGGCGACUGUGAGUUCCUGAAUUUGAAAUUCUCAGUGGAUUGGGGUUCCGCUUUGUUAUUGUUCUGGAAUUGAGCUGAUUUCGGCGCUUCAUGCAAUUGGAUUUGGUUUUAAGACUCUGAGCGGAAGGGUGACUAUGGCGGACUGUAUUUUGUUUGCAAGAACAGAUAUCAGUGGCUGCAGAGGAAUGGUUAUGCUGUUACAGAUACAUGAAAUGCAAAAGAAUUAUCUCUGGAAUCAGGGAGGUGGUUUUUCUUUCUGAACUUUUUGAGACAGCAUCUCUACUUUUGUUGUUUCUGUAAUGUUACAUUUUUUACUUUAAAGGUUUAUCCUUUCUUCUCUUCUAAAUUGACUCAAUUCCGUAUGUGGCCAAAGGUGUUGAGGCCACCUGACUGCCUUUACACCUUUGCGUGAUAUGUAGCCCAAGGUGUCAAAACCACCUCUCUGUCUUUACACCGUAACUUCCAUGGGGCCAUACAAUAUUCUGGUUCAUUCUUUUACAUUGAAAAGACACAGGAAAUAAGAUAUCAUGUUUGAUCUGAUGAACACUCUGUAGAUUGGGUGGGCUCUGCAUGAGUGAGGGAGCACCUUUUUUUAUUUUCCCUUUGUCAGGCUAUACCUUUUGUUUAUCCCUUUGUAUACAUCCUGUGUACCUUGCUGUAUAGCUCCUUUCACUAAUACACAGAUAUCUUAUCUUUGCUUAUCGAAAUUCUGAUGGAAACUCUGCAUUUGUUAUUAUUCCUUUCCUGUUCUUUUCUUUGAAAAAUGAUUGGCUAGCAAGAUCAUAAGUUUCUUAUUCUGAAAGAUGUGGUGAUUUACAUUUUCAUCCCAAGUGUUAUGAUUUUCAAUCUCCAAUUUCACAUAAGCUUGUUACCCCAAAACUUGCAGCUUCAUAGUCUUUUCAUUUGUUUUUGUCUCUCAGUAUUUUUUAGCUUCAUCUACUCUCAAAUGUGUGUAAAGCCUUUAUUUUUUGCAUCUGAUUGUUAUUUAUUUUUGUUUUUCCCUGACAAAUAUUUUGAUCAAACGUAAAUUCUGUAAGCAACACAUACAAUCAAAUCUCUGCUCUGGUAGUGGGAUCGGGUGUUAAUUUUUUAUGUCUGAAGCUUUUUGUUUUCUUGUUAAUUAAUUGAGACAAUUCUUGAUUCAAUUUUGAUGGAUAGCCAACCACAAAGGCAACUCCUAAAUCCUGUUGAGAAGUUUGCCAUCAGUUCACAAGAGUCAACAUGGAAGCAUAGUCCAUGAAGUGGAGCAGUUUGAGCAUGCUGAUAAACUAACCUCAUGGUUUUUUUGGAAAGUAAAGACAUAUAUUACUCGAUUUCUUGAAAAUAUAAGGUGCUCUUCCUUUUCACAUGAAAAACUUAGUGUGCUCAUGAAGUAACAGGCUCUUCUUUAUCUUGGGUUUCAAUGGCACGCCAAGUCUACCCAGAUAGUA